Molecule: transfer RNA, 77 nt
Filed under: Candidatus Saccharibacteria bacterium CG_4_10_14_0_2_um_filter_52_9
Lineage: Bacteria; Candidatus Saccharimonadota
Also listed under: 6 other names
Description: tRNA-Pro
Rfam family: tRNA
About the family: Transfer RNA (tRNA) molecules are approximately 80 nucleotides in length. Their secondary structure includes four short double-helical elements and three loops (D, anti-codon, and T loops).
Source: RNAcentral
CGGGGAGUGGCGCAGUCUGGUAGCGCACGCGGUUUGGGACCGCGGGGUCGCAGGUUCAAAUCCUGUCUCCCCGACCA